GAUCCUGGCUCAGGAUGAACGCUGGCGGCGUGCUUAACACAUGCAAGUCGAACGAAGCACUUUAUUACAAUUUCUUCGGAAUGACGAUUUAGUGACUGAGUGGCGGACGGGUGAGUAACGCGUGGGUAACCUGCCUUAUACAGGGGGAUAACAGUUAGAGAUGACUGCUAAUACCGCAUAAGCGCACAGGAUUGCAUGAUCUGGUGUGAAAAACUCCGGUGGUAUAAUAUGGACCCG
RNAcentral lists this ribosomal RNA (237 nucleotides) under uncultured bacterium. RNAcentral's name for it is "partial 16S ribosomal RNA". It matches the Rfam family "Bacterial small subunit ribosomal RNA", at positions 15 to 233 of the family's 1533-position model. The record is from RNAcentral.